This 407-nucleotide ribosomal RNA is filed under the name uncultured bacterium. RNAcentral describes it as "bacterial SSU rRNA". It matches the Rfam family "Bacterial small subunit ribosomal RNA", at positions 355 to 776 of the family's 1533-position model. The record is from RNAcentral.
UGGGGAAUAUUGGGCAAUGGGCGCAAGCCUGACCCAGCAACGCCGCGUGAGGGAAGAAGGUUUUCGGAUUGUAAACCUCUGUCGCAGAUGACGAAGGAAGUGACGGUAAUCUGUGAGGAAGCCCCGGCUAACUACGUGCCAGCAGCCGCGGUAAUACGUAGGGGGCGAGCGUUGUCCGGAAUUACUGGGCGUAAAGGGAGCGUAGGCGGCCGAUUAAGUUGGAUGUGAAAUCCCCGGGCUUAACUUGGGUGGUGCAUCCAAUACUGGUUGGCUAGAGUACAGGAGAGGAAAGCGGAAUUCCUGGUGUAGCGGUGAAAUGCAUAGAUAUCAGGAGGAACAUCGGUGGCGAAGGCGGCUUUCUGGACUGACACUGACGCUGAGGCUCGAAAGCGUGGGGAGCAAACAGG